Molecule: ribosomal RNA, 63 nt
Filed under: Phymatidium delicatulum var. curvisepalum
Lineage: Eukaryota; Viridiplantae; Streptophyta; Magnoliopsida; Asparagales; Orchidaceae
Description: partial 26S ribosomal RNA
Source: RNAcentral
AGGCCUUCAUGGGGCAUAUGAUUGCUUGGGAUGUGACCCCAGGAUGGGCGAGGCUACCCGCCG